This 743-nucleotide long non-coding RNA is filed under the name Rattus norvegicus (Norway rat). RNAcentral describes it as "long non-coding RNA NONRATT019635". The record is from RNAcentral. Lineage: Eukaryota; Metazoa; Chordata; Mammalia; Rodentia; Muridae.
UGAGAGGCACUUCCAGAAGGUGCUGAACAGGAGUCUGUUCACGGGCCUGCGCUCUGUCACCCACUUUGGUCGCCCUCCCUUUGAGCUCUUCUUAGACUCUCUGCAGGAGGUUCAUCCACAGGUACAUAAGAUUGGUGUGUUCAGCUGUGGUCCUCCAGGGAUGACCAAGAAUGUGGAGAAGGCCUGUCAGCUCAUCAACAGGCAGGACCGGGCCCACUUUGUGCAUCAUUAUGAGAACUUCUGAGCCUGCCCUCCUGGAUCCCUGUCCGGUCUGCUGCCCUCUAUCUUCUGUUACCGUCACUUGAGACCACAGUCAGGGAACUGGAGCCCCUCCCCUCAUAGCAUCUAUGUUCUGGGCAGGUAGACAAGGUCAGUCCAAUACCUACCUCAUGACAUAGCAAGUUAUGGGAUGUCCAGCAAGGAAAGGAAAACCCCUAUUUCUGACAACUGUGGAUGGGAACAGAACACUGGGGGUCGCCUCUGACAGGUCUAUGUUUCUGUUUUGCCUUCACAAAACUGCUGUGGGUUUUUCUUGGGGGGGGGAAUCAUUUGAGGAAAGCAGGACAAUCUCCUCUGAGUUUGUCUCAGAAACCACAUACCAAAAACCUGCACAGCCCACCUGCCUCAACUCGGGCUCUGGGUGCCCCCUGCCCCAGCCUCUGCCCUGCACCUUCCUGCUCUGAGAGGGCCACAGAGCCAGAGAACAGAUGCCCUGAGUUCCCAAUGUCAUCCAUGCUGUGACC